CUCGUAGCCCCGUAGUCGCAGGUGCUGAGCUCCGCUUUCGAUGUAUAUAAAAUGCCACAUCACAUAAUAUAAUGAGCACUUAGUUCAUCCAAACGAAACGUGAAACAUACAAGCGACAAUGAAAGCCUUCAAUUUACUUCUACUGCUUUGCUUGCUGUACUGCAUUGCGGUCGCUCCAAGCUACGCUCAAAACGAUGACGACGAACAGGAUAUAUGUGAUAGUAUAGUAGUGGACGUCGAUGCAUUAAAUGGAGUCCUUUGAGAAAUAAACAAUUACAUUCUUA
Molecule: long non-coding RNA, 284 nt
Filed under: Bombyx mandarina (wild silkworm)
Lineage: Eukaryota; Metazoa; Arthropoda; Insecta; Lepidoptera; Bombycidae
Description: uncharacterized LOC114241230, transcript variant X2
Source: RNAcentral